GCUGGGGUGGCGGAAUUGGUAGACGCACAGGACUUAAAAUCCUGCGCCCUUAGGGGCAUGCGGGUUCGACUCCCGCCCUCAGCACCA
RNAcentral lists this transfer RNA (87 nucleotides) under Aridibacter famidurans. Its description in RNAcentral is "tRNA-Leu". It matches the Rfam family "tRNA". Rfam says of the family: Transfer RNA (tRNA) molecules are approximately 80 nucleotides in length. Their secondary structure includes four short double-helical elements and three loops (D, anti-codon, and T loops). The record is from RNAcentral. Lineage: Bacteria; Pseudomonadati; Acidobacteriota; Blastocatellia; Blastocatellales; Blastocatellaceae. RNAcentral also lists the same sequence under 2 other names.